Molecule: long non-coding RNA, 464 nt
Organism: Triticum dicoccoides
Lineage: Eukaryota; Viridiplantae; Streptophyta; Magnoliopsida; Poales; Poaceae
Exons: 3
Source: RefSeq, a predicted model, not a curated record
GCAAAUAUGAACGGAAGCUCAUCUACCACAAUCAUGCGAGCAAAUGCUUCUCUAACUUCUUUCUCAUUGUAUUGCCAAGGAACCACAGAGUUGCCAUCAGCACAAACUUGGUAGGUAAGCUCGGUCUGAUUGCUACCGAUGUGGGCAGGAUUUUUUUUGCAAAUCUUCAAAUGGUUUACUAAAGAAGCAGUACCUGCCGAUGUGGAUUUGCAACCCAAUACAGCACUACAAUAGUUGCAGUUUGCAUGAUCCGGAUCAUCCACCUGAAUUGUGAAGUAAGGAACCUUGACUAGCAACAUAACCAGCACCAAGGUUGACACUAUCGAACACCUGAAGAAAUAAGUUAGCCACUACUACUGCAACCAAACUGAACCAACUAUGUUACUGAACAAGUAUCAUGAGAUCAGGGAGAUGCUAUGCUACUGAACAAGUAUCCAACCAGAUCGAACUCAAGGUCAAAGAAU